CCUACGGGUGGCAGCAGUGAGGAAUAUUGGUCAAUGGGCGAGACCCUGAACCAGCCAAGCCGCGUGAAGGAUGAAGGAUCUAUGGGUUGUAAACUCCUUUUAUAUGGGAAUAAAGUGAGGAACGUGUUCCUUUUUGUAUGUACCAUAUGAAUAAGCAUCGGCUAACUCCGUGCCAGCAGCCGCGGUAAUACGGAGGGUGCGAGCGUUAUCCGGAUUUAUUGGGUUUAAAGGGUGCGUAGGUGGUUAAUUAAGUCAGCGGUGAAAGUUUGUGGCUCAACCAUAGAAUUGCCGUUGAAACUGGUUGGCUUGAGUAUAGUUGAGGUAGGCGGAAUGCGUGGUGUAGCGGUGAAAUGCAUAGAUAUCACGCAGAACACCGAUUGCGAAGGCAGCUUACUAAACUAUAACUGACGCUGAGGCACGAAAGCGUGGGGAUCAAACAGGAUUAGAUACCCCGGUAGUC
RNAcentral lists this ribosomal RNA (460 nucleotides) under uncultured bacterium. RNAcentral's name for it is "partial 16S ribosomal RNA". It matches the Rfam family "Bacterial small subunit ribosomal RNA", at positions 338 to 795 of the family's 1533-position model. The record is from RNAcentral.